ACACCGGCAGCCCAAGUGGUGGCCAUUUUUAUUGGGCCUAAAGCGUUCGUAGCCGGCCUGAUAAGUCUCUGGUGAAAUCCCGCAGCUUAACUGUGGGAAUUGCUGGAGAUACUAUCAGACUUGAGGUCGGGAGAGGUUAGAGGUACUCCCAGGGUAGGGGUGAAAUCCUAUAAUCCUGGGAGGACCACCUGUGGCGAAGGCUGCUAACUGGAACGAACCUGACGGUGAGUAACGAAAGCCAGGGGCGCGAACCGGAGUAGAUACCCGGGUAGUCCUGGCCGUAAACGAUGUGGACUUGGUGUUGGGAUGGCCUCGAGCUGCCCCAGUGCCGAAGGGAAGCUGUUAAGUCCACCGCCUGGGAAGUACGGUCGCAAGGCUGAAACUUAAAUGAAUUGGCGGGG
RNAcentral lists this ribosomal RNA (401 nucleotides) under uncultured bacterium. RNAcentral describes it as "partial 16S ribosomal RNA". It matches the Rfam family "Archaeal small subunit ribosomal RNA", at positions 473 to 873 of the family's 1478-position model. The record is from RNAcentral.